CCCUUAGAUGUUCUGGGCCGCACGCGCGCUACACUGAUGCAUUCAACGAGUUUCUUCCUGGUCCGAGAGGAAUGGGUAACCUUUUGAAAGUGCAUCGUGAUAGGGAUAGACUAUUGCAAUUAUUGGUCUUCAACGAGGAAUUCCUAGUAGACGUGGUUCAUCAGACUGCAUCGAUUACGUCCCUGCCCUUUGUACACACCGCCCGUCGCUCCUACCGAUUGAAUGCUCAGGUGAGCCAUUCGGACUUUCAUCAUGCUGGUUUCCAGUUUUGAUGAAGGAAAGUCUUGCGAACCUUAUCAUUUAGAGGAGGGAGAAGUCGUAACA
Molecule: ribosomal RNA, 324 nt
Filed under: uncultured eukaryote
Lineage: Eukaryota
Description: partial 18S ribosomal RNA
Rfam family: Eukaryotic small subunit ribosomal RNA
Source: RNAcentral